UUAAAUUGAAGAGUUUGAUCAUGGCUCAGAUUGAACGCUGGCGGCAGGCCUAACACAUGCAAGUCGAGCGGAAACGAGUUAUCUGAACCUUC
RNAcentral lists this ribosomal RNA (92 nucleotides) under Vibrio alginolyticus. Its description in RNAcentral is "partial 16S ribosomal RNA". It matches the Rfam family "Bacterial small subunit ribosomal RNA", at positions 1 to 90 of the family's 1533-position model. RNAcentral also lists the same sequence under 1 other name. The record is from RNAcentral. Lineage: Bacteria; Pseudomonadati; Pseudomonadota; Gammaproteobacteria; Vibrionales; Vibrionaceae.